GACAAAGAUCUCGAGUCCCUGAAAGUUGCUAAUUAUCCUCAGCUCUCCCAGUUUAACCGCUACUAUAAACUCUGGAUACCCAAGCAGUCCCAGGAACCCGUGUUGGAAAACCACAAGGAGGUAAGCAAAGAGCCUGCUGUGGCACUGGCUUCUGUAUUUGCCACCGUGCUGAAGGGAGCCUGGGAGAGAGGAAGCAGUACCUUGGUGGAAGAUGAUGUUCAGACAAAGUGGAGAGACUUGGCUUCCUGGCUCCCACCCGAGCAGCUUUUGUCGGGAGUAAAGCACGUGCUGCUCUACCUGAGAUCCACGGUGGAGAACUUCAGCCGUGAGCCAUCGGCUUCUAUAGUUGAGUUACGAGUCUAUGUCUUGAAAGAGCCGGAAGCCUUUUAGGGGCUGCAGUUUGUGUCCCGUGGAAUGAGCUGCCCCCGGGAAAUGUGUGAGCUGAACGUAGCCGAGCCCGGGCGAAGGGAGCCGAGCUGCGGGGAAUGGCCGAGUGGAGGCGGCUGUAGGCGGUAAUAGGCGAGCUUAGCCGAAAGUGACGGAGGAGCCGAGCGGAGCCGAGGUGCGCCGCGUUUAGCCGAGCUGCGCAGUAGAGGCGAAUCCAUCCGCCUGCAGGCGAUAAUAGGCGAACUUAGCCGAAAAUAACCGAAACUGACCGAGGAGCCGAGUCCAGCCGAACCGAGUCGAGCUCCGCCGAGCGCAGCAUCCUGGGCAGGGCGGGGCGCCGGGGCAGGGCCGGGGCUCAGUGGGGCUCCCCGUCCUGUCCCUCUCUCUACCCCUCCUUCCUCCUCCCCGUAUUCCCCUCAGUUAUCUCUCUUUUCCCCGUUUCCGUCUCCCCCCCAAAGCCGGCUCCUUCCUGUCCUGUCCCUACCCCGCUACUCCGUUCUAUUCCCCCUGUCCCCUUCCUCUCUCCACUGCCCCUCUUCCUCCCCUGCCGGCCUUUCCC
This 946-nucleotide long non-coding RNA is filed under the name Chloebia gouldiae (Gouldian finch). RNAcentral describes it as "Erythrura gouldiae (Gouldian finch) lncRNA (ENSEGOG00005016233.1)". Lineage: Eukaryota; Metazoa; Chordata; Aves; Passeriformes; Passeridae. The record is from RNAcentral.